CAAGAAACGAGGCCGCGUGCGCUCGCCCGCCCGGCCCCGCUCCUUACCUUGCCUACUGCACCGUUUGUUGCUUCCUGGCGGCGGACUGCCCGCCUCCAGGGACGUUGAUACAACCCUGUAUAGAAGCAUUGAAGCUCUGAGAAAACGCGAAAUCAUA
This 157-nucleotide unclassified non-coding RNA is filed under the name soil metagenome. Its description in RNAcentral is "partial internal transcribed spacer 1". The record is from RNAcentral.